UGAACGCGAAGAACCUUACCUGGUCUUGACAUCCACAGAACUAUCCAGAGAUGGAUUGGUGCCUUCGGGAACUGUGAGACAGGUGCUGCAUGGCAGAAGUCAGCUCGUGUUGUGAAAUGUUGGGUUAAGUCCCGCAACGAGCGCAACCCUUAUCCUUUGUUGCCAGCGGUCCGGCCGGGAACUCAAAGGAGACUGCCAGUGAUAAACUGGAGGAAGGUGGGGAUGACGUCAAGUCAUCAUGGCCCUUACGACCAGGGCUACACACGUGCUACAAUGGCGCAUACAAAGAGAAGCGACCUCGCGAGAGCAAGCGGACCUCAUAAAGUGCGUCGUAGUCCGGAUUGUAUUCUGCAACUCGACUCCAUGAAGUCGGAAUCGCUAGUAAUCGUGGAUCAGAAUGCCACGGUGAAUACGUUCCCGGGUCUUGUACACACGCA
This 437-nucleotide ribosomal RNA is filed under the name bacterium CPTAC17C. Its description in RNAcentral is "bacterial SSU rRNA". It matches the Rfam family "Bacterial small subunit ribosomal RNA", at positions 956 to 1394 of the family's 1533-position model. The record is from RNAcentral.